GGGAGCUUGCUCCCUGAAGUCNGCGGCGGACGGGUGAGUAACACGUGGGCAACCUGCCUGUAAGACUGGGAUAACUCCGGGAAACCGGGGCUAAUACCGGAUAAUUCUUUCCCUCACAUGAGGGAAAGCUGAAAGAUGGUUUCGGCUAUCACUUACAGAUGGGCCCGCGGCGCAUUAGCUAGUUGGUGAGGUAACGGCUCACCAAGGCAACGAUGCGUAGCCGACCUGAGAGGGUGAUCGGCCACACUGGGACUGAGACACGGCCCAGACUCCUACGGGAGGCAGCAGUAGGGAAUCUUCCGCAAUGGACGAAAGUCUGACGGAGCAACGCCGCGUGAGUGAUGAAGGUUUUCGGAUCGUAAAACUCUGUUGUUAGGGAAGAACAAGUACCGGAGUAACUGCCGGUACCUUGACGGUACCUAACCAGAAAGCCACGGCUAACUACGUGCCAGCAGCCGCGGUAAUACGUAGGUGGCAAGCGUUGUCCGGAAUUAUUGNGCGUAAAGCGCGCGCAGGCGG
Molecule: ribosomal RNA, 519 nt
Filed under: Bacillus sp. PhelSh11
Lineage: Bacteria; Bacillati; Bacillota; Bacilli; Caryophanales; Bacillaceae
Description: bacterial SSU rRNA
Rfam family: Bacterial small subunit ribosomal RNA
Source: RNAcentral